UUUCCAUUAUUCAAUACGACUCUCGGCAACGGAUAUCUCGGCUCUCGCAUCGAUGAAGAACGUAGCGAAAUGCGAUACUUGGUGUGAAUUGCAGAAUCCCGUGAACCAUCGAGUCUUUGAACGCAAGUUGCGCCCCAAGCCGUUAGGCCGAGGGCACGCCUGCCUGGGUGUCACGCA
This 177-nucleotide ribosomal RNA is filed under the name Acer caudatifolium. RNAcentral describes it as "5.8S ribosomal RNA". The stretch from base 18 to 173 matches the Rfam family "5.8S ribosomal RNA". Rfam says of the family: 5.8S ribosomal RNA (5.8S rRNA) is a component of the large subunit of the eukaryotic ribosome. It is transcribed by RNA polymerase I as part of the 45S precursor that also contains 18S and 28S rRNA. Lineage: Eukaryota; Viridiplantae; Streptophyta; Magnoliopsida; Sapindales; Sapindaceae. The record is from RNAcentral.